RNAcentral lists this ribosomal RNA (393 nucleotides) under bacterium enrichment culture. Its description in RNAcentral is "bacterial SSU rRNA". It matches the Rfam family "Bacterial small subunit ribosomal RNA", at positions 521 to 916 of the family's 1533-position model. The record is from RNAcentral.
UAAUACGGAGGGUCCGAGCGUUAUCCGGAUUUAUUGGGUUUAAAGGGUGCGUAGGCGGUUUUAUAAGUCAGCGGUGAAAUUUUCCGGCUCAACCGGGAUACUGCCGUUGAUACUGUAAGGCUAGGAUAUGGUUGCUGUGGGUGGAAUGUGUGGUGUAGCGGUGAAAUGCUUAGAGAUCACACAGAAUAUCGAUUGCGAAGGCAGCUCACAAAGCCAUUAUUGACGCUGAGGCACGAAAGUGUGGGGAUCAAACAGGAUUAGAUACCCUGGUAGUCCACACUGUAAACGAUGAUAACUCGCUGUCGGCGAUAUAAAGUCGGUGGCCAAGCGAAAGCGAUAAGUUAUCCACCUGGGGAGUACGACCGCAAGGUUGAAACUCAAAUGAAUUGACGG